AUGGCCUCCGCCGGCGAGCACACAGUGCCCCUGCUCGACCGCCCACCCCCCGAGGCAGCGGAGGCAUACACCACCGACGGGUCUCUUGAUUUCGACGGGAACCCGGCGCUGAAGAAUCGGACGGGUGGAUGGCGCGCAUGCCGCGCAGUCCUCGGUACCGACUUCUGCUACUGCCUGGCCUUCCAUGGCAUCUCCUACAACCUCGUCACGUACCUCACGACCGUCCUGGGCCAGACCAACGUCGCCGCCUCGAGGUGCGUCUCCACCUGGAAGGGCACCUGUUACCUCACUCCUCUCGCCGGCGCCGUCGUCGCCGACUCCUACUGGGGAAGGUACCGCACCAUGGUCGUCUCCUGCUCCGUCGGCGUCGCAGGCAUGCUCAUGGCAGCACUCUCAGCGUACCUGCCGCUGCUCGUCAAGAACGGCGCGUCGUUCACAGGCCUCACCUCGUCCAACAUCGUGUCGGCUCAGGAGUUCAUCUUGUUUCUGGGCCUCUACAUGGUUGCCUUUGGGUUGGGCGGCCUCAGGCCGUGCCUGAUGUCCUUCGGCGCCGAUCAGUUCGACGACGGCGAUCCAUCGGAGCGCGUGACGAAGGGCUCCUUCUUCAACUGGUACGUCUUCAACAUGUACUGCGCAUCGCUGGUAUCCAGCACCGGCAUCGUAUGGGUGCAGGACCGUUACGGCUGGGCGCUGGGGCUGACCAUCCCGGCGGCCGUCCUCGCCGUCGGGCUUUCUUGCCUGGUCGUGGGCUCGCGGACGUGCAGGUUUCACCGCCCCGGCGGCAGCGCACUCACCAGAGUGUGCCAGGUCGUCGUUGCUGCAGUGAGAAAUUUUGGCGUCGAGCCGCCGUCCGACAGCUCUCUUCUCUACGACCCGCGGGAAGAAGACCUCGCAGUUCAGAGGAUCGAGCACACCCCUGAUCUCCGAUUCUUCGACAAGGCCGCCGUUGUCGUGCCUUCGGGCAAGGAGGUGGAGACGGCAGCCGCGUCGACACCGCACAGCCCGUGGAGACUCUGCAUUGUGACGCAGGUUGAGGAGACCAAGAUUCUCGUGCGGAUGCUUCCGCUCUGGGCGACCGUCGUGUUCUUCUAUGCCGUGUUAGCGCAGGUCUCGUCGACGUUCGUCGAGCAAGGCAUGGCGAUGGACGCCAAAGUCGGCUCCGUACGCGUCCCGCCCGCGUCCAUGUCCACCUUUGAAGUGCUCACCAUCAUCGCCCUGGUCCCGCUCUACGACCGGGCAUUCGUUCCUGCGGCCAGGAGGCUCACCGGGAGGGAGAAGGGCAUCUCGGGGCUUCAGAGGAUCGGUGCCGGCCUCGCCAUGCCCGUGCUCGCCAUGGCCGCAGCGGCGCUUCUCGAGACGGCACGCCUCCGCGCGGCAAAGGCGUCGCCGCUGGCGCCGAAUUCGACCAGCGUGCUGUGGCAGGCGCCCCAGUACGUGCUGAUGGGCAUGGGCCAGGUGCUCACUACCAUCGGGCAGCUCGACUUCUUCUACAGCCAGGCGCCGGCCGCGAUGAAGACCGUGUGCACGGCGCUCGGGUUCCUCGCGAUAGCGGCCGGCGACUACCUGAGCUCCUUCCUACUGACGGUCGUGCAGUGGGCCACGUCGACGGGCGGCGCGCCGGGCUGGAUCCCCGACAACCUGAACGAGGGUCACUUGGAUCGCUUCUUCUGGAUGAUGGCCGGACUGGGCUGCCUGAAUCUGAUGGUUUUUGUGAGCUGCGCCGCGAGGUACAAGGAAAAGAAUCCAAUAAGACCAUGUUGA
This 1761-nucleotide ribosomal RNA is filed under the name Triticum aestivum (bread wheat). RNAcentral describes it as "partial small subunit ribosomal RNA". Lineage: Eukaryota; Viridiplantae; Streptophyta; Magnoliopsida; Poales; Poaceae. The record is from RNAcentral.